AUCUUCCGCAAUGGGCGAAAGCCUGACGGAGCAACGCCGCGUGCGUGAUGAAGGGUUUCGGCUCGUAAAACUCUGUUAUUAGGGAAGAACAAAUGUGUAAGUAACUGUGCACAUCUUUACGGUACCCAAUCUGAAAGCCACGGCCAACUACGUUCCCACAGCCGCGGUAAUACGUAGGUGGCAAGCGUUAUCCGGAAUUAUUGGGCGUAAAGCGCGCGUAGGCGGUUUCUUAAGUCUGAUGUGAAAGCCCACGGCUCAACCGUGGAGGGUCAUUGGAAACUGGGAAACUUGAGUGCAGAAGAGGAAAGUGGAAUUCCAUGUGUAGCGGUGAAAUGCGCAGAGAUAUGGAGGAACACCAGUGGCGAAGGCGACUUUCUGGUCUGUAACUGACGCUGAUGUGCGAAAGCGUGGGGAUCAAACA
Molecule: ribosomal RNA, 421 nt
Filed under: uncultured bacterium
Lineage: Bacteria
Description: bacterial SSU rRNA
Rfam family: Bacterial small subunit ribosomal RNA
Source: RNAcentral